GAGGAAUGUAUAGCAAUAGCUACUUGCAUCAUUGUAGAUAUGAUGUAAGAUCGACUAUGUUGAAUAAAAUUCUAGGUAGAAUUAUGAUAAUGACAUUGUCUGCCUAUGUGUCUUGACCAAAUUACGUGCCAGCAGUCGCGGUAAUACGUAGAAGACUAGUGUUAUUCAUGUUUAAUCGGUUUAAAGGGUACCUAGACGGUAGAUCAAGCUUUCUAAUAAAUGAAAAGGACUAAUUUACUAGAGUUACUUAUGAGGGGGUAUUAAAGUACUGCUGGUGUAGAGAUGAAAUUCUGUCAUACCUCUUUUCAAAGGAAAAACCAUGGCACAGGUAUAGGCGAAGGCAUCCCCUUAUGUGAUAACUGACGUUGAGGGACGAAGGCUUUGUGUAGCGAACAGGAUUAGAUACCCCAGUAGUCGAAGCAGAAAAUGAUGAAUGUCAUAGAUUAGAUGUAUAAGUUUAUUCUAUAAAUGAAAGUGUAAGCAUUCCACCUCAUGAGUAAUUUGGCAACAUUGGAACUGAAAUCAUUAGACCGUUUCUGAAACCAGUAGUGAAGUAUGUUGUUUAAUUUGAUGAUCCGCAAAAAACCUUACCACAAUUUGAAUAUUUAUAUUUUUUUUUAUUGUUUUCUUCAGAAAAAAAUCAAAAAAGGAAGAAAAUUAAGAAAGAGGCAAUAAGAUAUAUUUACAAGCGUUGCACGGCUGUCUUCAGUUAAUGUCGCGAGACUUUGGUUAGUUCCAUUAAAUUAACGUAAACCCUUACUUUAUUUUUAUAUAGAGUAGUUCCCCGCUAUAUUGGAUAUGAU
Molecule: ribosomal RNA, 803 nt
Filed under: Xanthoparmelia aff. glabrans MAF 9912
Lineage: Eukaryota; Fungi; Ascomycota; Lecanoromycetes; Lecanorales; Parmeliaceae
Description: SSU rRNA
Rfam family: Bacterial small subunit ribosomal RNA
Source: RNAcentral